GAUGAACGCUGGCGGCGUGCCUAAUACAUGCAAGUCGAGCGAACAGAUGAGGAGCUUGCUCCUCUGACUUUAUCGGCGGACGGGUGAUUAACACGUGGAUAGCCUACCUAUCAGACUGGGAUAACUUCGGGAAACCGUAGCUAAUACCGGAUAAUAUAUUGAACCUCAUUGUUCAAUAGUUAAAUACGGUUUUUCUUUCACUUAUAGCUUGCUCCGCGCCGCAUUCGCUAGUUGGUAAGGUAACGGCUUACCAAGGCAACGAUGCGUAGCCGACCUGAGAGGGUGAUCGGCCACACUGGAACUGAGAAACGGUACAGACUCCGACGGGAGGAAGCAGUAGGGAAUCUUCCGCGAUGGGCGAAAGCCUGACGGAGCAAAGCCGCGUGAGGGAUGAAGGACUUCGGAUCGUAAAACUCUGUUAUUAGGGAAGAACAAAUGUGUAAGUAACUAGGCACGUCUUGACGGUACCUAAUCAGAAAGCCACGGCUAACUACGUG
This 497-nucleotide ribosomal RNA is filed under the name uncultured bacterium. RNAcentral's name for it is "partial 16S ribosomal RNA". It matches the Rfam family "Bacterial small subunit ribosomal RNA", at positions 28 to 507 of the family's 1533-position model. The record is from RNAcentral.